This is a long non-coding RNA of Xenopus laevis (African clawed frog), 3682 nucleotides long. RefSeq lists it as uncharacterized. NCBI's taxonomy places the organism in Eukaryota, Metazoa, Chordata, Amphibia, Anura, Pipidae. The record is from RefSeq and is a predicted model, not a curated record. The transcript is spliced from 13 exons.
CAGGGGCAGGCCCGGACUGGCCAUUUGUGAAUACGGGCAAAUGCCCGUUGGGCCGCUGCCUCUGUAUGGGAAUUGGGCCGCACGGACAGUGUGCUCUUGUGCGCAGGGCUCAGAUGAAGAGAGUCCCCGCAUGUGUGCAGCGCGUGCAGAAAUUUAAUUUAGCAGGACCCGCACUAAAAUUUUCUACCACUAGAGGGCGUGCAGCAGAAGUGAGCCGGAAACUGAAGACCUGCACAGGGAAAACAUUAGCACGUUUGCAGUGCUUUUGAAACGCCCCAUUAGUUCCUGCUGAUGAAGGGAGGGAUAGAAUUUUCUGCUGCUGUUCUGCAUUUCCCCCCUUGCCCCCCCCCCCAACUGUACAGAGAAAGGGCAGCCACUGGCAAAGGACUUUGUUAAAGAUCUACCAGCAUUUCCAAUGUAUAGUUCCUAUAAACGUAACUACCGGGAAGAUUCUCAUGUGUGGAUUACAACUGGAAUUGGCAGGAACCUUGCACUGCAUGACUAUCAGUUCUCCACCUUCCCACUUGACUUCUGUUCUCAUCUCUUCUGGUUUUGACUAAAAUCUGAUCUGAGUCUUGAUACCUGCUUGGAGUCAAUUCUGGCUACCUUGACCUCGUCUUGAUGUCUGUAUCUGAGAUUCUAUACACCCAUCUUCUGUCGUGGGGCCUCAAGAGGGUAUCCUCAUUGACUAAUUCUAUUUUCAGAGGUGCAAAAGGAGCUGACCUCGAUUUACACUAUACUACAAUGGUGGAAGUGGAUGUAAAAAACCCUGCCUGGAUGUCGAAAGACCAGCCCCCCUGCAAAUCCAGAACUACAAAUUCCACAAAGAACUUGGAAAAGGCAACUUUGGCCAGGUGAUGUUAGCAUCGUUUGCCCCAAAGAAAAAGCUUGUGGCAAUUAAGAAGAUUUACAAGAAAAUCGACAAAAACAACUACAAGAAAUCAGUAAAGAAGCUCGGAUCUUGAAGAUGGCCAAAAGUUGCCCCUUUUUAUGCCAUUUACAUGCAGCCUUCCAAUCAGAGGUUCAGGCCUUUCUUGUGCUGGAAUAUGCCUGCGGGAGAUUAUUAGCCAACAUGAUUUCAAAGAGUGGAAAACUACCAACUGAAACAAUCCAGUUCUACACUGCAGAGAUUGUAAUUGGCCUCCAGUUUCUGCACUCAAAUGGCAUCGUGCAUCGUGAUCUGAAGCCUGAUAACAUCUUGGUGGAUAGGAGUGGACACAUUAAAAUCUGCGACUUCGGUUUCAGAUGAAGGGCUGUUCGACAAGAAGAUCAUCUGCGGAUUGGCAGCAACCCCUGGCUACCGGGCCCCAGAGGUGAGCGGGUUGCAGGUUGGGUUGCGGAUAAGGCAGUUGCGGAUCUGGGUCGGUCAGUGGAUCAAAGUGGGUUUUGUUAAUGGAAUAUUAUAAUGCGGGGGCUGACUGGUGGUCAUUAGGUGUGAUCAUCUAUGAAAUGGCCACAGCUAAACAACCAUUUAGCCCAUCUGUCAGUGCUAUGAGGGAGUUUAUGUCAAUCAAAACUCCUCAAUAUCCAAGUUACAUGAGCCAGGAAAUGCAGGACCUCUUGUCAAAGCUUCUGGAGAUGGACAGGAAGCAACGCUUAGGAGUGAAUGGCAACAUCAGGGAGCACCCAUUCUUUGCUACAAUCAAUUGGGAAAAUCUGGAAAAGAUAAGAGUGAAGACACCUUUCCAGCCAAAAAUGCCAUUCACAAGUGAGCUUAGAGUGAUUUCACCAGGAUUGUCCGCUGAUACCUCCAAAAGAGAGAGGGUAGAAGAACUUUCCUACAUGGACCCCACCUGGCAUUGGCAGGACUAAUGCAUUCUCCUGUACUCAUUUGAUCCAACAUCAUUACUGCCCGGAUAGCCAGCGACCAAGCCAACAUACCAUCUAUGGGAAACUAAAGCAAUUAACAUCAGAUCUGCCCCGAUUAUAAAUCUGCAAGUGUCCAAUCACCUACAGCAGCACCCCACUGUAUCCACCAGUUACUUCCACAAACAACUUGAGUCAAAGUGGCAGGUAAGUACCCCAUCUCUACAAGGGCCUGGAUCUUCCUUGACCAUCUAUUGAGCUGAAUUUCAUCUUCAUUCAUCAUCUUCCUUUUUCAUAUUCAUUUUUAAAACCCUAAUUAUAGGAAGCGUGGUAGGUAUAAACUGAGUUUUUAUUUAUUUGAAUUUUAUUUAUGAAUGUGUAAUUUUUCUAAAUUUUUAUAGUAUGUUAUAUAUGAAAAAAAACAAAAAAAACCCCAAAAAAUUAGAUUAGAUUAUAUAGAGAAUAUAUAUAGUGAUGUGUAGAGUCAUAUAAGAGUUUAUAUAAUGUAAACAUUUAGGGUAUGGGUGGGAUAUAUGGGAUGCAUUAUAAGUUGGGGUAAGGAACAUAUACUGUGAUUUUUUUUGUAAUAAGUAUGAAUGGAAAUGGUGUGUGAAUAUAGAGAAUAUAUAUAUAGAGAGAAUAUAUAUUACGUGUGUGUAUAUUUAUAUAUUAAUGUGUAGAGUUAUAUGAGUUUGUAUAAUGUAUAUAUUUAGGGUAUGGUGGGAUAUAUGGGAUACAUUAUAAGUUGGGGUAAGGAAUAUAUACUGUAUGAUUUUUUUAUAAUAAGUAUGAAUGGAAAUGGUGUGUGAAUAUAGAGAAUAUACUGUAUAUAUAGAGAGAGAAUAUAUUGUGAUGUGUAUAUAUGUUAUAUAGUGAUGUGUAGAGUUAUAUAAUAGUUCAUAUGAUGUAUACAUUUAGGGUAUGGGUGGGAUAUAUGGGAUACAUUAUAAGUUGGGGUAAGUAAUAUAUACUGUGUCAUUUUUUGAAUAAGUAUGAAUGGAAAUGGUGUGUGAAUGCAAACAGGGGUCCCGACUGCACCAAUUUACAAGGUGAGCACACCAGUUGGCUGCACAUUGAUUGUAAAUCACUUUUAAAAUGUAAAAGAACCGAUAUGAGGAGGUUGCUAUAUUUUUAAUUUGUUAGGCCCAAUUUGAAAUUAUAAUGCAGUAAAUAUAUGCCCAUAUUACUAAAAAGCCCAAGUGCUAUGAAUUUGUUUAGUGAAUGGUUUAGGGAACUUAUGACUGAGGAGCAAAGUGAUAUUAAUAGACCAGGAAAGCUGUAUGGCCCAAAAUGCUGCCUAGUUACAACCUCCUCCUUUUACACCCAACCCAGAGCCCUAUAGUUAGUAACAAACUAGAACAAAAAUAAUCUCUCAUCCAGGCCUUUUAUAUAAUAAAAGGUUACUGGAAUAGCAUUUGUACAAUGUUGAUCCAGGGACUGGUCCGAUUGCCGUUUUGGAGUCAGGAAGGAAUUUCCCCCCAUCUAAAGCAAAUUGGCGAUGGCUAAAGAUGGGGUUUUUGCCUUCCUCUGGAUCAUCAAGAAGUUAGGUAAAUUUAAUUUGAUGGACACGCUCACCCUCAAUUAAUAUAUAACAGUGUCCUUUGAUUUGACCCAAAUUUUACACAGAGAACAUAAAUCCAAAGUGGAGAGGAUUAAAAUCCCAGCUAAGUAUUAGCUAUAGAAAAAGAGAUAAUAGUGUGUGAAUCAAUAUGUGAGUAUAUCUGUGUGUGUUUAUUAGUGCAAAUAUCCCAAUGGGGAACAUUUGUUCCUUACACCUCUCCCAAAGCAGCUUAUAUAAACUGCUGCCCAGCCCAAUAGGAAACUAUUGCAGCAACUAAUAGGGUGAGCCAUUUGCUGCAAUAGGUGUGUGAAUGAA